GGGGACAUAGCUCAGUGGUAGAACGCUUGCUCUCCUUGCUAGGCGUGCUUGGCAUGCACGAGGUCCUGGGUUCAAUCCCCGGUACCUCCA
This 90-nucleotide transfer RNA is filed under the name Camelus bactrianus (Bactrian camel). It matches the Rfam family "tRNA". From Rfam's summary of the family: Transfer RNA (tRNA) molecules are approximately 80 nucleotides in length. Their secondary structure includes four short double-helical elements and three loops (D, anti-codon, and T loops). Lineage: Eukaryota; Metazoa; Chordata; Mammalia; Artiodactyla; Camelidae. RNAcentral also lists the same sequence under 2 other names. The record is from Rfam by way of RNAcentral.